This 451-nucleotide ribosomal RNA is filed under the name uncultured bacterium. Its description in RNAcentral is "partial 16S ribosomal RNA". It matches the Rfam family "Bacterial small subunit ribosomal RNA", at positions 329 to 793 of the family's 1533-position model. The record is from RNAcentral.
GUCCAGACUCCUACGGGAGGCAGCAGUAGGGAAUAUUGCUCAAUGGGCGCAAGCCUGACCCAGCAACGCCGCGUGAAGGAAGAAGGCUUUCGGGUUGUAAACUUCUUUUCUGAGGGACGAAGCAAGUGACGGUACCUUAGGAAUAAGCCACGGCUAACUCCGUGCCAGCAGCCGCGGUAAUACGGAGGGUGCAAGCGUUAAUCGGAAUUACUGGGCGUAAAGUGCUCGUAGGCGGUAUGUCAAGUCAAGGGUGAAAUCCCCGCGCUCAACGUGGGAACUGCCUUUGAAACUGGCAAACUGGAGUGUGUGAGAGGAUAGUGGAAUUCCAGGUGUAGGAGUGAAAUCCGUAGAUAUCUGGAGGAACAUCAGUGGCGAAGGCGACUAUCUGGCACAUAACUGACGCUGAGGAGCGAAAGCGUGGGUAGCAAACAGGAUUAGAUACCCUUGUACG